GACGAACGCUGGCGGCGUGCUUAACACAUGCAAGUCGAACGGAAAGGCCCUGCUUUUGUGGGGUGCUCGUGUGGCGAACGGGUGAGUAACACGUGAGUAACCUGCCCUUGACUUUGGGAUAACUUCAGGAAACUGGGGCUAAUACCGGAUAGGAGCUCCUGCUGCAUGGGGUGGGUUGGAAAGUUUCGGCGGUGGGGGCUGGACUCGCGGCUUACCAGCUUGUUUGUGGGGUAGUGGCUUACCAAGGCUUUGACGGGUAGCCGGCCUGAGAGGGUGACCGGCCACAUGGGGACUGAGAUACGGCCCAGACUCCUACGGGAGGCAGCAGUGGGGAGUAUUGCACAAUGGGCGGAAGCCUGAUGCAGCAACGCCGCGUGCGGGAUGACGGCCUUCGGGUUGUAAACCGCUUUCGCCUGUGACGAAGCGUGAGUGACGGUAAUGGGUAAAGAAGCACCGGCUAACUACGUG
This 468-nucleotide ribosomal RNA is filed under the name uncultured bacterium. Its description in RNAcentral is "partial 16S ribosomal RNA". It matches the Rfam family "Bacterial small subunit ribosomal RNA", at positions 28 to 507 of the family's 1533-position model. The record is from RNAcentral.